AGUCGAACGGCAGCACAGAGGAGCUUGCUCCGUGGGUGGCGAGUGGCGGACGGGUGAGGAAUACAUCGGAAUCUACUCUGUCGUGGGGGAUAACGUAGGGAAACUUACGCUAAUACCGCAUACGACCUACGGGUGAAAGCAGGGGAUCUUCGGACCUUGCGCGAUUGAAUGAGCCGAUGUCGGAUUAGCUAGUUGGCGGGGUAAAGGCCCACCAAGGCGACGAUCCGUAGCUGGUCUGAGAGGAUGAUCAGCCACACUGGAACUGAGACACGGUCCCAGACUCUUACGGGAGGCAGCAGUGGGGAAUAUUGGACAAUGGGCGCAAGCCUGAUCCAGCCAUACCGCGUGGGUGAAGAAGGCCUUCGGGUUGUAAAGCCCUUUUGUUGGGAAAGAAAUCCAGCUGGCUAAUACCCGGUUGGGAUGACGGUACCCAAAGAAUAAGCACCGGCUAACUUCGUGCCAGCAGCCGCGGUAAUACGAAGGGUGCAAGCGUUACUCGGAAUUACUGGGCGUAAAGCGUGCGUAGGUGGUCGUUUAAGUCCGUUGUGAAAGCCCUGGGCUCAACCUGGGAACUGCAGUGGAUACUGGGCGACUAGAGUGUGGUAGAGGGUAGCGGAAUUUCCUGGUGUAGCAGUGAAAUGCGUAGAGAUCAGGGGAACAUCCAUGGCGAAGGCAGCUACCUGGACCAACACUGACA
This 697-nucleotide ribosomal RNA is filed under the name Stenotrophomonas sp. DBT23. RNAcentral describes it as "bacterial SSU rRNA". It matches the Rfam family "Bacterial small subunit ribosomal RNA", at positions 60 to 745 of the family's 1533-position model. Lineage: Bacteria; Pseudomonadati; Pseudomonadota; Gammaproteobacteria; Lysobacterales; Lysobacteraceae. The record is from RNAcentral.